Molecule: unclassified non-coding RNA, 224 nt
Filed under: uncultured fungus
Lineage: Eukaryota; Fungi
Description: sequence contains ITS1, 5.8S rRNA gene
Rfam family: 5.8S ribosomal RNA (bases 176-224)
Source: RNAcentral
UUUCCGUAGGUGAACCUGCGGAAGGAUCAUUAACGAUUUCGUAGCUGGGCUUCGGCCCUGUCUGCACCCUUGUCUUUUGCGUACCAAUUGUUUCCUCGGCGGGCUUGCCUGCCGGUUGGACAUUAUCAAACCUUUUUGUAGUUGCAAUCAGCGUCAGAAACAAAACAAUAAUUACAACUUUCAACAACGGAUCUCUUGGUUCUGGCAUCGAUGAAGAACGCAGC